Molecule: ribosomal RNA, 409 nt
Filed under: uncultured bacterium
Lineage: Bacteria
Description: bacterial SSU rRNA
Rfam family: Bacterial small subunit ribosomal RNA
Source: RNAcentral
AGCGAACGCUGGCGGCGUGCUUAACACAUGCAAGUCGAGGGAGAACGGAGGGCUUCGGCCUUCUUAGUAAACCGGCGCACGGGUGAGUAACACGUAGGUAACCUACCUCCGAGUUCGGGAUAACCUGUCGAAAGAUAGGCUAAUACCGGAUAAGACCACGAUGGCUUCGGCCACUGCGGUCAAAGAUGGCCUCUAUUUAUAAGCUAUCGCUUGGGGAUGGGCCUGCGCACCAUUAGCUAGUUGGUGAGGUAAUGGCUCACCAAGGCUACGAUGGUUAGUUGGUCUGAGAGGAUGACCAGCCACACUGGGACUGAGACACGGCCCAGACUCCUACGGGAGGCAGCAGUGGGGAAUAUUGCGCAAUGGGGGAAACCCUGACGCAGCGACGCCGCGUGGGUGAUGAAGGCCU